Molecule: non-coding RNA, 108 nt
Organism: Acanthosepion pharaonis
Lineage: Eukaryota; Metazoa; Mollusca; Cephalopoda; Sepiida; Sepiidae
Source: the annotation of a GenBank genome assembly
CAGCCACACCACGUUGAAAACCGGUUCUCGUAUAAUCACCGAAGUUAAGAAACGUCGAGCCUGGUCAGUACCUAGAUGGGUGACCAUUUGGGAAUACCAGAUGCUGAA